AGCAGCCGCGGUAAUUCCAGCUCCAAUAGCGUAUAUUAAAGUUGUUGCAGUUAAAAAGCUCGUAGUUGAAUUUCGGGACUAAUAUGUCGGUCGUACUUUGUACGUACUAGCAUUAUUGGUUUCUCCCUUCUGACGAACCACGAUGUCAUUAAUUUGGUGUCAUGGGAAAUCAGGACUGUUACUUUGAAAAAAUUAGAGUGUUUAAAGCAAGCUCGCGCUUGAAUACAUUAGCAUGGAAUAAUGAAAUAGGACGUUUGAUUCUAUUUUGUUGGUUUCUAGGAUCGACGUAAUGAUUAAUAGGGAUAGUUGGGGGCAUUAGUAUUCAAUUGUCAGAGGUGAAAUUCUUGGAUUUAUUGAAGACUAACUACUGCGAAAGCAUUUGCCAAGGAUGUUUUCAUUAAUCAAGAACGAAAGUUAGGGGAUCGAAGACGAUCAGAUACCGUCGUAGUCUUAACCAUAAACUAU
RNAcentral lists this ribosomal RNA (465 nucleotides) under uncultured Glomus. RNAcentral's name for it is "SSU rRNA". It matches the Rfam family "Eukaryotic small subunit ribosomal RNA", at positions 569 to 1040 of the family's 1831-position model. The record is from RNAcentral. Lineage: Eukaryota; Fungi; Glomeromycota; Glomeromycetes; Glomerales; Glomeraceae.